ACGCUGGCGGCGUGCUUAACACAUGCAAGUCGAACGAGGUCCACGCGUAGCAAUACAAGGGAAGACCUAGUGGCGAACGGGUGCGUAACACGUGAGGGAACUUGUCCCGGUCUCUGGGAUAACAGUUGGAAACAACUGCUAAUACCGGAUGACGUCGGAAUCUCGCAUGGGAUACUGACGAAAGGGUUACUGGAUCGGGAGAGCCUCGCGGCCUAUCAGCUUGUUGGUGAGGUAACGGCUCACCAAGGCAUCGACGGGUAGCUGGUCUGAGAGGAUGAUCAGCCACACUGGGACUGAGACACGGCCCAGACUCCUACGGGAGGCAGCAGUGGGGGAAUCUUGCGCAAUGGGCGAAAGCCUGACGCAGCAACGCCGCGUGCGGGAAGAAGGCCCUCGGGUUGUAAACCGCUUUCAGAAGGAACGAAAAUGACGGUACUUUCAGAAGAAGGUGCGGCCAACUACGUG
Molecule: ribosomal RNA, 465 nt
Filed under: uncultured bacterium
Lineage: Bacteria
Description: bacterial SSU rRNA
Rfam family: Bacterial small subunit ribosomal RNA
Source: RNAcentral